Molecule: ribosomal RNA, 440 nt
Filed under: uncultured bacterium
Lineage: Bacteria
Description: partial 16S ribosomal RNA
Rfam family: Bacterial small subunit ribosomal RNA
Source: RNAcentral
CCUACGGGAGGCAGCAGUGGGGAAUAUUGCACAAUGGGGGGAACCCUGAUGCAGCAACGCCGCGUGGGUGAAGAAGUACUCCGGUAUGUAAAGCCCUGUCAGCAGGGAAGAAAAUGACGGUACCUGACCAAGAAGCCCCGGAUAACUACGUGCCAGCAGCCGCGGUUAUACGUAGGGGGCAAGCGUUAUCCGGAUUUACUGGGGGUAAAGGGAGCGUAGACGGGAAGGCAAGGCUGGAGUGAAAGCCCGGGGCCCAACCACGGGACUGCUUUGGAAACCGUGUUGCUGGAGUGCAGGAGGGGUAAGCGGAAUUCCUAGUGUAGCGGUGAAAUGCGUAGAUAUUAGGAGGAACACCAGUGGCGAAGGCGGUCUGCUGGACAGCAACUGACGCUGAGGCGCGAAAGCGUGGGGAGCAAACAGGAUUAGAUACCCUGGUAGUC